RNAcentral lists this ribosomal RNA (371 nucleotides) under uncultured bacterium. RNAcentral's name for it is "bacterial SSU rRNA". It matches the Rfam family "Bacterial small subunit ribosomal RNA", at positions 527 to 896 of the family's 1533-position model. The record is from RNAcentral.
GUAGGUGGCAAGCGUUGUCCGGAAUUAUUGGGCGUAAAGCGCGCGCAGGCGGUCCUUUAAGUCUGAUGUGAAAGCCCACGGCUCAACCGUGGAGGGUCAUUGGAAACUGGGGGACUUGAGUACAGAAGAGAGGAGUGGAAUUCCACGUGUAGCGGUGAAAUGCGUAGAGAUGUGGAGGAACACCAGUGGCGAAGGCGACUCUUUGGUCUGUAACUGACGCUGAGGCGCGAAAGCGUGGGGAGCAAACAGGAUUAGAUACCCUGGUAGUCCACGCUGUAAACGAUGAGUGCUAAGUGUUAGAGGGUUUCCGCCCUUUAGUGCUGCAGCUAACGCAUUAAGCACUCCGCCUGGGGAGUACGGCCGCAAGGCUG